UACGUAGGUGGCAAGCGUUGUCCGGAUUUACUGGGCGUAAAGAGCGCGCAGGCGGCUGGGCAAGUCCGAUGUGAAAGCUUCCGGCUUAACUGGAAAAUUGCAUUGGAAACUGCUCGGCUUGAAGGUGGGAGAGGGUAGCGGAAUUCCCGGUGUAGUGGUGAAAUGCGUAGAUAUCGGGAGGAACACCAGUGGCGAAGGCGACUACCUGGCCUGUUUCUUGACGCUGAGGCGCGAAAGCUAGGGGAGCAAACGGG
This 254-nucleotide ribosomal RNA is filed under the name uncultured bacterium. RNAcentral describes it as "partial 16S ribosomal RNA". It matches the Rfam family "Bacterial small subunit ribosomal RNA", at positions 524 to 776 of the family's 1533-position model. The record is from RNAcentral.